GGGAUUUUUGGUUGUGAAUUCAAGUCAUUUUAGCAAGAUCAAAGUGAAUUUUCUUUAAGGUAAUUCUUGGCUUUAAUCUCUUACUUGUUUUUCUUGAAAAAAAUGAUGAAAAUGGAUGAAAAUGCAUGUAGUUUUGGAUGUUGUUGGCUGCUGUGUUUUGUGAUUAUUUUGUGUGAUUCAAGCAUGUUAAAUUGAUAGGAAUUAAGCUAUGUUGAAGCAUGUAGGUUAGAUUGUUAAGCUUUUAGUUUUUAUGUGAAAAAGUAUGAAUUUUGGAAGGAAAAUGUUGUGAUUAUGUUCUGUGUUGUUGCUGCUGUUCUUGUUAGUUUGCAGAGGUGAUAUUAUGCUUAGUUAUGUUGAAUUAAGUUGGUUUGCAUGCUUGUUUAGGUGGUUUGCUCAAGCUUGAGUUUGGAACUCAAAGCUUGAGCUCCAAUGGCAAAUUUUGUAUUUGUGGUUUCUGGGUAGGUUUGUUGCCUUGGAUUUGUUCUUUAGGGUAUUUAGAACAGGUCUGGAAAGUUUGGGACCAAUUGGGGUCGAAUUGGUCAAGUUAUGAGAUUUUAUGGUUGCUGCCUGCGAGGAACCGGAAUUCCGGUUGAGCAUCCGGAAUUCCGGAUGGGGGUUCAGAAUUUCCCAGAACCGGAAUUCCGGUUGGGCAACCGGUCUGCCGGUUGGGGAUUUUUCAGAACCCUAGUUUUCCUCGUUUUUGGGUUUUUAGGGGUAUUGCCAUGCUUUUUAUCGAUAGGGAAACUUUUAGUUUCAAGUUUUAGUCCCCGGGAAGUGAUUUAGCGUGUCACUUAUAGCGUUGUGAUUUUUAUGGUUUAGGAGCCAGUAAUCCGCCGUUCAGCUUCAGUUCCAGUCAGGUUGACCGGCACACCUGAAAUCGGAAUCCAGGUAAAGGCAAGGCUGUAGCUGAUGGACCGUGACCGAGCAUAUGAGAUUGUACAUGUCGGGGCGGUUAGGCCUGGAGCGUACGAUCCUCGGGACAGCAGGGCUGAGAUUUUUGUAACUGUCGUUAGACGACUUUCUUUUUGUUGUAAAAGUUAAACAGUUAAAACGUUUGUAAAUAUUUUAUAAAUCGGGAUCCCGAGACUUUUGUAAAACGGUUUAUAAGUUUAAUGAAAAAGCAAAAUUUUAAUUAA
Molecule: RNA transcript, 1136 nt
Organism: Cannabis sativa
Lineage: Eukaryota; Viridiplantae; Streptophyta; Magnoliopsida; Rosales; Cannabaceae
Exons: 2
Source: RefSeq, a predicted model, not a curated record